UACGUAGGCAGCAAGCGUUGUUCGGAAUUACUGGGCGUAAAGAGUGUGUAGGCGGUGCUCUAAGUUCGGUGUGAAAUCUCCCGGCUCAACUGGGAGGGUGCGCCGGAAACUGGAAUGCUUGAGCGUGGGAGAGGAAAGCGGAAUUCCUGGUGUAGCGGUGAAAUGCGUAGAUAUCAGGAGGAACACCAGUGGCGAAGGCGAGUCUCUGGACAUUUCCUGACGCUGAGGCACGAAAGCCAGGGGAGCAAACGGG
This 253-nucleotide ribosomal RNA is filed under the name uncultured bacterium. Its description in RNAcentral is "partial 16S ribosomal RNA". It matches the Rfam family "Bacterial small subunit ribosomal RNA", at positions 524 to 776 of the family's 1533-position model. The record is from RNAcentral.